RNAcentral lists this ribosomal RNA (429 nucleotides) under Gemmatimonadota bacterium. RNAcentral describes it as "Gemmatimonadetes bacterium partial 16S ribosomal RNA". It matches the Rfam family "Bacterial small subunit ribosomal RNA", at positions 355 to 776 of the family's 1533-position model. The record is from RNAcentral. Lineage: Bacteria; Pseudomonadati; Gemmatimonadota.
UAGGGAAUCUUCGGCAAUGGACGAAAGUCUGACCGAGCAACGCCGCGUGAGUGAAGAAGGUUUUCGGAUCGUAAAACUCUGUUGUUAGAGAAGAACAAGGACGUUAGUAACUGAACGUCCCCUGACGGUAUCUAACCAGAAAGCCACGGCUAACUACGUGCCAGCAGCCGCGGUAAUACGUAGGUGGCAAGCGUUGUCCGGAAUUAUUGGGCGUAAAGCGAGCGCAGGCGGUUUCUUAAGUCUGAUGUGAAAGCCCCCGGCUCAACCGGGGAGGGUCAUUGGAAACUGGGAGACUUGAGUGCAGAAGAGGCGAGUGGAAUUCCAUGUGUAGCAGUGAAAUGCGUAGAUAUAUGGAGGAACACCAGUGGCGAAGGCGGCUCUCUGGUCUGUAACUGACGCUGAGGCUCGAAAGCGUGGGGAGCAAACAGG